UAGGUGAACCUGCGGAAGGAUCAUUACCGAGUGAGGGCCCUCUGGGUCCAACCUCCCACCCGUGUUUAUUUUACCUUGUUGCUUCGGCGGGCCCGCCUUAACUGGCCGCCGGGGGGCUUACGCCCCCGGGCCCGCGCCCGCCGAAGACACCCUCGAACUCUGUCUGAAGAUUGUAGUCUGAGUGAAAAUAUAAAUUAUUUAAAACUUUCAACAACGGAUCUCUUGGUUCCGGCAUCGAUGAAGAACGCAGCGAAAUGCGAUACGUAAUGUGAAUUGCAAAUUCAGUGAAUCAUCGAGUCUUUGAACGCACAUUGCGCCCCCUGGUAUUCCGGGGGGCAUGCCUGUCCGAGCGUCAUUUCUGCCCUCAAGCACGGCUUGUGUGUUGGGCCCCGUCCUCCGAUCCCGGGGGACGGGCCCGAAAGGCAGCGGCGGCACCGCGUCCGGUCCUCGAGCGUAUGGGGCUUUGUCACCCGCUCUGUAGGCCCGGCCGGCGCUUGCCGAUCAACCCAAAUUUUUAUCCAGGUUGACCUCGGAUCAGGUAGGGAUACC
Molecule: ribosomal RNA, 549 nt
Filed under: fungal sp. LP5_4258
Lineage: Eukaryota; Fungi
Description: eukaryotic LSU rRNA
Rfam family: 5.8S ribosomal RNA (bases 203-355)
Source: RNAcentral